ACUUAUUGUUCCUGUUUUUUUAGUGAGGAAGAAUUUUCCACAUUAAAAGAAUGGGCAUUAGUUUCUAUGCUACAACAUUUUUGGUGUGGUGGAUAGUUUUUGUGCUUUUCAUCUUUAUACAGAAGUAGUUAUUAAAAAAAGAAGGAAAAAAAAGGAGGUAAGUUCUGCUUACCAAACCAAAAUUAGGAUUUUAAUUCUGAAUUCAUGUGUAGUUCCCUCCGUUGUGUCAUAUGCAAGGUGAACAUUAUGUUGAAAGAGUAGUAUUUGUAGUGGUGUCUCAUGUGUGAGAUUUGUAAUAUUAGUUUAUAUAAGGGUAGGUAGCGUUUGUUUAGUCAUAAUUUUCUAAUUAGGAUUUAGCUUUUGUUAUAUAUAUAUAUAUAUAUAUAUUAUUGCUUGUAAUCUUCUUAUUAAUGUAAUGCAAAAUAUCGUUUCCCUUUUCUUAUAUGGUAUCAAAGCAUUUACAACCCUAGCUACCACCAUCAUCCAUUGCCAAUUAGGGUUUUGUUGGUCACAGCCGCUUCUCUUUCUUAUAAUCGUUUGUCGUUGUUAGGGUUUCGUUGGUCACAAUCCCUUCUUCUCUUUUUCGGGUUGUUUACCGCAAUUAGGGUUUACUCAAUUGUAGUCCCGUCAGUGGUAGCCCUCUUUCUUCCAUCGAUGGUGGCUCAUCUUCUCUUAUCUUCUGUCGAUCGCUCCUCCUCCUCUACUCAGUCUUUUCUGGUUGUAAUCCUCUUCUCUAGUUCGUGGUUGUUCGAAGAUCUGAGUGUUAUGUUCUCGAUCUGGAUUGUGGUAACCUUCAGUGGGUCCUUGCUUCAAUUGUGACUGGUAAUAUUAGGUCUUCCAGUUGAGUAGCUGAUUCGAAGAUGAUUUGCCGCACGGCACAGUGGAAGAUGGGGAGCCUAGCUGCUGAUUGGGCAACGAAUGUCGUUUACUUUUUUGACUCAGAAGAUGGACUUGUCAGCUGUUAUUUCACAUGAAUGGCUAGAUAAAGCUUUUAACUUAAUCCAGUGUUGGUAAAAUAUGCCUAUCCUCUUGGGAUUUACUUCCUUGUGUUGAUGAUUUUAGUUAAUGUGUAUGGCUGUUAUAAUAUCUUCAUUCAUACUUGCUGCAUUGAGUGUAUCUUUGCUGUAAUUUUUCCCCAACUAAUCUCCAAAGUCCUUUGGAGAUCCACUGAUGAGAAACCAUAUAUAUACACUAUUUAAUGUUGGUUCGCUUGUU
Camellia sinensis is the source of this 1215-nucleotide non-coding RNA. The record is from RefSeq and is a predicted model, not a curated record. Lineage: Eukaryota; Viridiplantae; Streptophyta; Magnoliopsida; Ericales; Theaceae.